This 692-nucleotide ribosomal RNA is filed under the name uncultured cyanobacterium. RNAcentral's name for it is "bacterial SSU rRNA". It matches the Rfam family "Bacterial small subunit ribosomal RNA", at positions 66 to 800 of the family's 1533-position model. The record is from RNAcentral. Lineage: Bacteria; Bacillati; Cyanobacteriota.
ACGCACCUUUCGGGGUGAGUGGCGGACGGGUGAGUAACGCGUGAGAAUCUACCAAAAGGACCGGGACAACCACUGGAAACGGUGGCUAAUACCGGAUGAGCCGCAACGUAAAAAGGGAAACCUGCCUUUUGAAGAGCUCGCGUCUGAUUAGCUAGUUGGUGAGGUAAGAGCUCACCAAGGCAGCGAUCAGUAGCUGGUCUGAGAGGAUGACCAGCCACACUGGGACUGAGACACGGCCCAGACUCCUACGGGAGGCAGCAGUGGGGAAUUUUCCGCAAUGGGCGAAAGCCUGACGGAGCAAGACCGCGUGAGGGAAGAAGGCUCUUGGGUCGUAAACCUCUUUUAUCAGGGAAGAAAAAAAUGACGGUACCUGAAGAAUCAGCCUCGGCUAACUCCGUGCCAGCAGCCGCGGUAAUACGGAGGAGGCAAGCGUUAUCCGGAAUUAUUGGGCGUAAAGCGUCCGCAGGUGGCUUAUCAAGUCUGCUGUCAAAGAGUGGGGCUUAACCCCAUAAAGGCAGUGGAAACUGAGAAGCUAGAGUGCCGUAGGGGUAGAGGGAAUUCCCGGUGUAGCGGUGAAAUGCGUAGAGAUCGGGAAGAACAUCGGUGGCGAAAGCGCUCUACUGGACGGCAACUGACACUCAGGGACGAAAGCUAGGGGAGCGAAUGGGAUUAGAUACCCCAGUAGUCCUAGC